GUUGUAGUGGUGUAGUGGUUAUCACGUCAGUCUUACACACUGAAGGCCUCCUGGGCAACAACA
Molecule: transfer RNA, 63 nt
Filed under: Ipomoea nil (Japanese morning glory)
Lineage: Eukaryota; Viridiplantae; Streptophyta; Magnoliopsida; Solanales; Convolvulaceae
Rfam family: tRNA
About the family: Transfer RNA (tRNA) molecules are approximately 80 nucleotides in length. Their secondary structure includes four short double-helical elements and three loops (D, anti-codon, and T loops).
Source: Rfam by way of RNAcentral